UACGUAGGGUGCGAGCGUUAAUCGGAAUUACUGGGCGUAAAGCGUGCGUAGGCGGUUCGUUAAGUUCGUUGUGAAAGCCCCGGGCUCAGCCUGGGAAUGGCAAUGGAAACUGGCGGGCUGGAGUAUGGCAGAGGGGGGUGGAAUUCCGCGUGUAGCAGUGAAAUGCGUAGAGAUGCGGAGGAACACCGAUGGCGAAGGCAGCCCCCUGGGCCAAUACUGACGCUCAGGCACGAAAGCGUGGGGAGCAAACAGG
This 253-nucleotide ribosomal RNA is filed under the name uncultured bacterium. RNAcentral describes it as "partial 16S ribosomal RNA". It matches the Rfam family "Bacterial small subunit ribosomal RNA", at positions 524 to 776 of the family's 1533-position model. The record is from RNAcentral.